AGCUACAUAUUAAAGAGAUUUAUUUAUAUAAAUAGGCUUGCUAGCUGAUUGUAUAUAUAUGCUGGCCGUAUUUCAUAGCAAGCUCGCUUUUAAUAGGCAACCAGUAAUAUGAGCAAUUCUUUACCUACAAGCCUAUAAUUAUAUUAACUCUAAGAGAAAUCUAAUAAUAAACGGAGUGAAUUGAAAUAUCUUAUUAACUUCAGGAAAAGAAAUCAAAAGAGAUUCUAUGAUUAGCGUGAGCUAAAAUAGAGUAGCCUAGAAAGUCAAAUGGUGGAUAAACUGUUUAAAUUUAAUGGGGAACCUUCCUCAAAGGCUAAAUAUAAUAUGUAAGCGAUAGUGGAAAGUACCGUGAGGGAACCAAAACAAAAACAGUGAUUUUAUAAGCAGUUCGGAAAAAUAAAAAAGUUAGAACGUACCUUUUGCAUAAUGGGUCACCAAGUUAACAUUAGAUGCGAGAUUCUACGUAGUUAAACCGAGCGUUAAAAUAACGGUAAGUGUCUAAAGUUAGACCCGAAGCCUGGUGAUUUUACCAUAAUCAGGAUUAUAAAAGUCCGAACGGAAUAUUGUAGCAUAAAUAUCCGAAGAAUUAUGGUAGGUGUAGUGAAAGACAAUACUGACCAGGAUAGCUGGUUUUCUGCGAAACCUAUAACAGUAGGCAAUUUAAGUAUAAUAUCUUAGCAGGUACAGAAUUUAAUCUCAGACAAGACAUAAGGCUUAACUUGUUAACAAGUUAAGCCCAUGUUUUAUUUUGUACAAAUUGGGGGAUCAUGAAGAUUUUAUCAGUGAGUAUGUAGACUCGGAAUGGCAAAGAUAUAUCUUAAAUCAUCAGACAUAGAAUGAUAAGGUUGUAUGUCAAAAGGGAAACAGCCCAGAACAAGAGUUAAGGUUCCUAAAUUAUUAGUUGAGUGAAAUUAAGAAGGUUUUUAUUAAAGUCGACAAGGAGAUAGGCUUAGAAGCAGCCAUAAUUUUAUGACCUCGUAACAGAGCGCUUGUUAAGUUUUAAAAGCAUCGAAAAUUUAUCGGAUCUAAACAAUAUACCGAAACCUUGUCCAUAUUAUUUUAUAAUUAAUAGUCUCAGCAAGCUCGGACUAUACAAUUAUAAUUAAAUGGGGUAGCAGAACGUUGAGCUAAAUUAAGAUUUUUAUUUUUUAAAUGAAAUUAUAAUAAUUUAACUCAAGUGAUAAUGGUGACAUGAGUAACUAAAAGAAAAUUUUCCGCCUAAAGCUUAUGGAUGUAAUUAAGUAACGGCCUCUAAGUUUAUGGAAUCAAAAGAUUAAAACGAUGAGACAAUCUUUCAUACUAAGGACGACAUUUUAAGUGCAAAAUGUACUGGAAAAAUAGUAAUAAGUUUAAGCUAUGGCUAGAACUAGCUAUAGCUGUAAAUGGAAAGUAACCGUACCUAGAAUCUGAAACAAGUAAGCUAGUAGAGAAUACGAAGGCGUAAAUGAGCUAACAAUCAUAAAGGAACUCGGCAAAUUGACUACCGUAACUUCGGGAUAAGGAGAGCUCAUUAUUCUUGAUUAAUAUCAGGUAAAGAGGAAGAAGCAUGAAAUAGUGUUGUACGACUGUUUAAUUAAAACACAGCACUUUGCUGAAAGAUUAAAAAUCUAAGUAUAGAGUGUGAUGUCUGCCCGGUGCCGGCUGGUUAACAGAUAUAAUUAAAUAUACUAAUAUUUGAUGUAGACGGAAACCCCGGUUAAAGGCGGCCUUAACGUGAGGGUCCUAAGGUAGCGAAAUGCCUUGGCCGUUAAAUGCGGUCUUGCAUGAAUGAUGUAACGAUACAACAGCUGUCUCUAUGAUUGACUCAGUGAAAUUGGAAUAGCUGUGCAGAUACAGUUUACCUCUAGUUAGACGAGAAGACCCUAUGCAGCUUUACUGUCACUAAUUAUAGAGUAUGAUAAACAAUUUUCAGUUUAUAAGGUAAUUGACGGCCGGCUUGCUUAGCAAGCUGGCUCUAUGACAAUGAGAAUCCUUUAUUUUUUUUUCAUAUGAAUGAAUUGGUUUAGGACGAGCUUAAGCUCGUAGUAAAUCAACCUAAUUCAGCUUAUUUUCCUUUCUGCUGUAAGCGCAUAAUGAUAGAUUAUACUUAAAUUUGGAUUUAUGCCUGCAGAAAUAGAUAAGUACCCUUGGUUAAGGAACUAUCGCUAGGGGACAGUUUAUGUGGGGCACAGACCCUGUAAAGAGUAAACAGGAGUGUCUAAUAAUUUAUAAUUAUUUUGUUUGCGAUUUAAGGUAGUAGAACUAUUUUUAAUCAUAUAAAAUUAUUUAUAUGUACAUUCGUUGUAUAUAUAUUUAAAAAAAGGUAGGAUUUUCACUAUAUAGAAAUUAGAGAUAAUAAAAAUAUUAAGUAGUAGCUGCUGAGUCCUAAUCCCGCCGAAGGGGGGGAUAUGGACUACUAUGUAUUUCAUAGCAAGCUCGCACUAAUAUUUUUUAACUAUUAAGACUGGCUAUCUAGCUAUGCUCUAAUAGUUAUGUUUUAAUUAUCUAAAAAGCUCAACGGCUAAAUCUUGCCUUACUGUUUGAUUAUCAACAAAUCUUACAGUUGCGUAAGCAGGGCAUAGGAUCACAAGAUGCAACAAGGAAAGAUCUUGGAUUAUUGGAAAAGCUACGCUAGGGAUAACAGGCUAAUUUGCGCAAGAGUGUACAAAAUGAGUGCGCGGUUUGGCACCUCGAUGUCGGCUUAACUUAUCCUCAUGGAUGCAGGAACUAUGUAGGGUGCGACUGUUCGUCGAUUAAAAAGUUACAUGAGCUGGGUUAAAUACGUCGUGAGACAGUAUGGUUUCUAUCUUCUAGGGGGAAUUAGAAUAUAAUAAGAACUAACUUUUGUACGAAAGGAACAAGAAGAAUUUAAUUUGUAAAAGGGUUAAAUAAUAGUUACUAACCUAUGGUUUACCUGUUGUCUAUGUGCCCAAAUAUUAAAAUAUAGGAUAAAAAUUCUAUAUAUCUGUAUAGCUUUAGCUAUACAUAGGGAUGUUUCUUUCACUAAGAUAAAUAUAUAGCAUAGGCACGGCAGGAAAGCUAAGUUGGUUAAGGAUAAGUGCUGAAAGCAUAUAGGCACGAAGCUUAUCUUAAGAUAUUUCUUAAAUAUACGUAAAAUAUUAUUACGAAGGAUUAAUAUAGGCUUUAUCCGUACGAAUCUGGAGAUUUUUAAGAAUAAAGUACUAAUUUUAUAAAUAACUAUUUAU
Molecule: ribosomal RNA, 3185 nt
Filed under: Fusarium pseudograminearum
Lineage: Eukaryota; Fungi; Ascomycota; Sordariomycetes; Hypocreales; Nectriaceae
Also listed under: 1 other name
Description: 16S ribosomal RNA
Rfam family: Bacterial large subunit ribosomal RNA
Source: RNAcentral